AACACAUGCAAGUCGAACGCGAAAGUUUCUUCGGAAAUGAGUAGAGUGGCGCACGGGUGAGUAACACGUGGAUUAUCUACCUAUUGGUACGGGACAACAGUUGGAAACGACUGCUAAUACCGUAUAAGCUGGUAACGGGAAAGGGGGCCUCUUCUUGAAAGCUCUCGCCAGUAGAUGAGUCCGCGUUUCAUUAGCUAGACGGUGGGGUAACGGCCUACCGUGGCAACGAUGAAUAGCAGGCCUGAGAGGGUGGCCUGCCACACUGGGACUGGAACACGGCCCAGACUCCUACGGGAGGCAGCAGUGGGGAAUAUUGCGCAAUGGACGAAAGUCUGACGCAGCGACGCCGCGUGGAGGAUGAAGGUUUUCGGAUCGUAAACUCCUGUCAAGAGGGAAGAAACCUAUCAAAAAUAAUACUUUUGGUAAUUGACGGUACCUCUAGAGGAAGCACCGGCUAAUUCAGUGCCAGCAGCCGCGGUAAUACUGAAGGUGCAAGCGUUAAUCGGAAUCACUGGGCGUAAGCGCUCGUAGGUGGCUUUGUAAGUCAGGUGUGAAAGCCCAC
Molecule: ribosomal RNA, 562 nt
Filed under: uncultured bacterium
Lineage: Bacteria
Description: bacterial SSU rRNA
Rfam family: Bacterial small subunit ribosomal RNA
Source: RNAcentral